GACGAACGCUGGCGGCGUGCUUAACACAUGCAAGUCGAACGAAGUGGCGAACGGGUGAGUAACGCGUAAUCAACCUGCCCUUCAGAGGGGUACAACAGUUGGAAACGACUGCUAAUACCGCAUACUGAAGGAGGGGAUUGCGUCGGAUUCGCUAGGUGGGUGGGUAACGGCCCACCAAGGCGAUGAUCAGUAGACUGGCCGAGAGGAUGAACGGCCACAUUGGGAAUGAGAAACGGCCCAGACUCCUACGGGAGGGAGCAGUGGGGGAACUUCCGAAAUGGAGGAAAGUCUGACGGAGCAAAGCCGGGUGAGGGAUGGCGGCCUUCGGGUUGUAAAGCUCUGUUAAUCGGGACGCGGUACCGGAAGAGAAAGCAACGGCUAACUACGUGCCAGCAGCCGCGGUAAUAC
RNAcentral lists this ribosomal RNA (408 nucleotides) under uncultured bacterium. RNAcentral's name for it is "partial 16S ribosomal RNA". It matches the Rfam family "Bacterial small subunit ribosomal RNA", at positions 28 to 526 of the family's 1533-position model. The record is from RNAcentral.